Molecule: long non-coding RNA, 209 nt
Filed under: Mytilus galloprovincialis (Mediterranean mussel)
Lineage: Eukaryota; Metazoa; Mollusca; Bivalvia; Mytilida; Mytilidae
Source: RNAcentral
GGUAUGUAACAGAAAUUGUAAGAGACAAGUAUGAUUUAGAAAACCAUGUUCUACAACAAGUUUAGGGGAGCUGAUAUUGAUAGAGCUGAUGCAACUGUCAUUGACGAAUAUUGCAGCCCAGAUCAAAUCGUCCAGUUAGUUUAAAGGAGAACUAUUGGCUGAGAUUGAAAGAAUAACUGCUGACGAAGAGUCUGUUGAACCAAAGGAAC